AGCAGCCGCGGUAAUUCCAGCUCCAAUAGCGUAUAUUAAAGUUGUUGCAGUUAAAAAGCUCGUAGUUGAAUUUCGGGAUUAAUUUACUGGUCGUGCUAUUGUACGUACUGGUUUUAUUGAUUCCUCUCUUCUGACGAACUAUGAUGCCAUUAAUUUGGUGUCUUAGGGAAUCAGGACUGUUACUUUAGAAAAAUUAGAGUUGUUUAAAGCAGGCUCACGCUUGAAUACAUUAGCAUGGAAAGACGGAAUAGGACGUUUGAUUCUAUUUUGUUGGUUUCUAGGAUCGACGUAAUGAUUAAUAGGGAUAGUUGGGGGCAUUAGUAUUCAAUUGUCAGAGGUGAAAUUCUUGGAUUUAUUGAAGACUAACUACUGCGAAAGCAUUUGCCAAGGAUGUUUUCAUUAAUCAAGAACGAAAGUUAGGGGAUCGAAGACGAUCAGAUACCGUCGUAGUCUUAACCAUAAACUAUGCCGACUAGGGAUCGGAUGAUGUUA
RNAcentral lists this small RNA (492 nucleotides) under uncultured Glomus. RNAcentral's name for it is "SSU rRNA". It matches the Rfam family "Eukaryotic small subunit ribosomal RNA", at positions 569 to 1065 of the family's 1831-position model. Lineage: Eukaryota; Fungi; Glomeromycota; Glomeromycetes; Glomerales; Glomeraceae. The record is from RNAcentral.